UCUAGAUCUUGAGAACCCCUAGUUUCUCCAGUGAUUGCUUUAUGUCAUUAACGUUGCAUCCCUCGCUUUGGACAACAUUGGCACUAUCGAAUGGUGUAACAUCUUCCAAAGGAUAGCUUCUGUCAGCAUGAAGCUUACGAGCAGUGCUGCCAACUCCCUUCAAUAUAACUGACUUGUGAAGUCCACCAAGUAGGCCUUCGUAAUCUGAUUCACCACAUUCCCCCACAAAAACCACAAAAUUUGACAAGUCUGCACCCCAUCGAACGUAUAGAUAUCUGAGGGCUUGGGAUCGAGAAGCCAACACAGGGAUCACAUUUAUCUUGGCACCAUUCUGACAAUAAAUAACAUGGCAGCGGAGGCCCUGAAUUCUCAUCAAUUUCCGAAGUUCUCUAAAUGGAGGGAUCAACGAUGGUUCUUUCACUUUAAAUGCAAAGCAAUGUGCUGUUGAUCCUGAU
Molecule: unclassified non-coding RNA, 455 nt
Filed under: Hevea brasiliensis (rubber tree)
Lineage: Eukaryota; Viridiplantae; Streptophyta; Magnoliopsida; Malpighiales; Euphorbiaceae
Source: RNAcentral